This 491-nucleotide ribosomal RNA is filed under the name uncultured bacterium. Its description in RNAcentral is "partial 16S ribosomal RNA". It matches the Rfam family "Bacterial small subunit ribosomal RNA", at positions 29 to 507 of the family's 1533-position model. The record is from RNAcentral.
GUGAACGCUGGCGGUAGGCCUAACCCAUGCAAGUCGAACGGCAGCACAGUAAGAGCUUGCUCUUACGGGUGGCGAGUGGCGGACGGGUGAGGAAUACAUCGGAAUCUACUUUUUCGUGGGGGAUAACGUAGGGAAACUUACGCUAAUACCUCAUACGACCUACGGGUGAAAGCAGGGGAUCUUCGGACCUUGCGCGAUUGAAUGAGCCGAUGUCGGAUUAGCUAGUUGGCGGGGUAAAGGCCCACCAAGGCGACGAUCCGUAGCUGGUCUGAGAGGAUGAUCAGCCACACUGGAACUGAGACACGGUCCAGACUCCUACGGGAGGCAGCAGUGGGGAAUAUUGGACAAUGGGCGCAAGCCUGAUCCAGCCAUACCGCGUGGGUGAAGAAGGCCUUCGGGUUGUAAAGCCCUUUUGUUGGGAAAGAAAAGCAGCAGGUUAAUACCCCGCUGUUCUGACGGUACCCAAAGAAUAAGCACCGGCUAACUUCGUG